This 1726-nucleotide unclassified non-coding RNA is filed under the name Hevea brasiliensis (rubber tree). The record is from RNAcentral. Lineage: Eukaryota; Viridiplantae; Streptophyta; Magnoliopsida; Malpighiales; Euphorbiaceae.
UAUCUGUCUCACCAUUAUCAAGCUACAAGUUACAUGCACCUAAUUACGGUAGGUAGGAUCUACACAGACUUUACCUCUACCUUUGCAGGAUAGAGAGACUGUUUCCGAUAAGAGAUUAUUUCCAUGCACAAGAAGCAACUAAAUCUCGAUUCAUCCAGCCAAGAUAGAGCGCGCCAUUUCUCUCAUUAAGCGUAUAACUUUGGUAGUAAUUCUCCAGCAGGGUCUUGAUAGUAGCAUUUACUGAGGAGCUUAACGGAUAUGGUUUAAACCCGGCCACAGCAAAUCGUGAUCUCCACCUUUCAAGCAGCUCGUGUCGUUCCACUCUCUCUGCCCCUUCACAUGCUAAUAUGUUGACAAUUUCACGGGCUAAGCAGUGUUGCUCAACGUUGAUUCGUUCCUUAUGGUCUCUAGGUAGAGCCACGUCUAUUGAUUCGAAAACAGAUAGGUAGUAGUUCAGUGUCUCCAAGAACCUGGGGAAGAAUUGGGCUGUGUUAGUGUUGGACUCUUGCUCCACUAAGGUAACAAUCUUGGGAGAUAAGCUUUUAACCAUCCUCAGAAGUCUGUCUCUGUGAUUUUGAGUUCCAACGCUCUCAUCAGGCAUAUGGUGCAAGACGAGCGCAAAGUUAACAGCCAAUGGUUCCCCGGGAAGAACCUUAAGAUGCUCAAUCUCAAUAUCUGGACAAGAAGCAGACACGGGAUGAAAUUCGAAAGGUACAUUGCAAGAUGCAGCAAUGCUUGACAGUCUUCGACCUACGAUUUCAAUCCCUCCUCCUCUGGCGUAAGCUGAUGUAGAGUCAUCAAUCCCUGUGAUGCGGAUUCUUGGAGGUCCACCAGGCCGUGCUGCAAGAGCAUGGAUUAAGGUGAUCCACUGGCUACCCUGAGCAAUCUGGAAAUCGAUUAUAUGAAUUGAGUUCUCAUCUUUCAUGGCAUCAACAAUUGCACCAUUUGCUGACAAAUAUCCAAACUUGAAGUAUGGACAGAUUUCAUAAAGCAAGUGCAUGUACGAGAAUAGCUCGACACUAGUAGGCUCUUUGCACCUUAAGGCCUUGUAGAUGGAGCUUCCCGAGGAGGCCAAUCUAGCAACUAAACCUUCCAGCAUAUAAGCACCUAAACGUUGUAUGGGAGACCCACAAACAGAUACCACCGUGCGUAGUUCUGACAUUAACCAUUCAGCUGUGAUCAAAUUAUUCUCCGCUAUUGCUUUAGCACAAGCAAUUAGAACUUCUUUCAAGUCUCCGCUAGGCAUCAUCUCCAUCAUUCCAACCAAUUUAUCCGACUCUGAUGGAACUUGAUUGGCUGCAGUCACAGGGAUAGUAUUAUUAAAUGAUUCCAAGCUUUCUGAAUCUGGCCCCAGCAUUGCAGUUUCAAGUUCCCUUAACUUGUGCUUCAGGUCAGUAACAUCACUAGUGUAGCACGAACUGUUACCCGACGACUGAAAUGUAUCAUCAGGAGAAUGAUGCAUGUCUGAACGACACGAAUCAGAACCUUGGUUCAUCAUGGGGUUGAAAUUAACAAUAGGAGGUGAAUCAGAAACAAGUUCACUAGAAUUUCCCGCGGAUGAUUCAACAUAACAGUGUUGGGCGGGUUUUAAGGCAGAGACAUCAGCAUAGAACGAUUGGUUGUUGUUCGGAUUGUUAACGGAAGGCAGGAAAUAGGAUUCUUGAUACUCUAUGGGUUGGUUAUAGAAUUUGUUGAACUCGUUGAUUUCCUCAGGGUUCUGAGAAGG